This 70-nucleotide transfer RNA is filed under the name Salmo salar (Atlantic salmon). It matches the Rfam family "tRNA". From Rfam's summary of the family: Transfer RNA (tRNA) molecules are approximately 80 nucleotides in length. Their secondary structure includes four short double-helical elements and three loops (D, anti-codon, and T loops). Further hydrogen bonds mediate the characteristic L-shaped molecular structure. tRNAs have two regions of fundamental functional importance: the anti-codon, which is responsible for specific mRNA codon recognition, and the 3' end, to which the tRNAs corresponding amino acid is attached (by aminoacyl-tRNA synthetases). tRNAs cope with the degeneracy of the genetic code in two manners: having more than one tRNA (with a specific anti-codon) for a particular amino acid; and 'wobble' base-pairing, i.e. permitting non-standard base-pairing at the 3rd anti-codon position. RNAcentral also lists the same sequence under 1 other name. Lineage: Eukaryota; Metazoa; Chordata; Actinopteri; Salmoniformes; Salmonidae. The record is from Rfam by way of RNAcentral.
CCCAAUGUGGCUCAGUUGGUAGAGCAUGGCACUUGCAAUGCCAGGGUUGUGGGUUUGAUACACAUGGGGG